This is a non-coding RNA of Ictidomys tridecemlineatus (thirteen-lined ground squirrel), 660 nucleotides long. The record is from RefSeq and is a predicted model, not a curated record. NCBI's taxonomy places the organism in Eukaryota, Metazoa, Chordata, Mammalia, Rodentia, Sciuridae.
UUUCAUCGGUUGUGACAGGACUUGGAAUAACUUGUGACUCUAAAGAGAGACUUGUUUCAUACUAACUGCUUGGGUCAUUUUUCUCUGUCAUUUUCCCUGCCUGGGAUGUUGUUCUCCUUCAUCUACUUGUACAAGUCCUAUUUUCUGAACUACUUUUUAUGGCCCUCCCGACUAUUCCAAAACCCCCCUCAACUGUCCUAAGUCUUCUAAGCUCUUACAACAGAUUACACUAUGAUGUUUCCAAAGAAGACAACUCUGCGUAUGCAUACUAGGGACCCAGGCACAUGACUUAAAGCCUCGUAAGCAAUCCUUACACAACAGUUAUUGGAUGAGGCCUAUAUACUGGAAUGUUCCAUUAAGAAUGCAAACUUCACAAAGCGAAGCACAAUGCAAAUAUUAUGAAUAUCAAACAGCAUUCUUAUGGAUAACUGGAAUUCACUUGUGAUUUUUUUUUUCAAACUGUCUCAAUUGAGUCAAGUGCAUGAAAACAUGGAACAGUAAAUCAGAACUGGGUGGGGGAUGAGUGAGCAGAUAAGUAUAAACAUGGCUUAAAAAUGAAGUAGAAUAUUUUCAUGUGCUUUUAGUUUCAGUAUUUAAUGUUUUGAAAUUCUAAGUAAUAUUAAAGUAAGAGCUGCUGGAAUAAAAGAGGUUGAGGAACAA